CUUUCACCAUGCAAAGUCGAACGGUUACGGGCCUUCGGGUGCCGACGAGUGGCGAACGGGUGAUUUUUGCAUCGGAACGUGUCCUCUUGUGGGGGAUAACCAGUCGAAAGACUGGCUAAUACCGCAUGAGCUCGAGAGAGGAAAGCAGGGGACCCGAGGGUAACUUCGGGCCUUGCGCGAGAGGAGCGGCCGAUGCCGGAUUAGCUAGUUGGUGGGGUAACGGCCUACCAAGCCGACGAUCCAUAGCUGGUUUGAGGGGAUGAUCAGCCACACUGGGACUGAGAACGGCCCAGACUCCUACGGGAGGCAGCAGUCGGGAAUUUUGCCCAAUGGACGAAAGUCUGAGUCAACGGCUCCGCGUGAGGGAUGAAGGCUCUCGGGUCGUAAACCUCUUU
This 395-nucleotide ribosomal RNA is filed under the name uncultured Tepidimonas sp. Its description in RNAcentral is "bacterial SSU rRNA". It matches the Rfam family "Bacterial small subunit ribosomal RNA", at positions 47 to 436 of the family's 1533-position model. The record is from RNAcentral. Lineage: Bacteria; Pseudomonadati; Pseudomonadota; Betaproteobacteria; Burkholderiales.